RNAcentral lists this ribosomal RNA (19 nucleotides) under Boodlea composita. RNAcentral's name for it is "s-rRNA". Lineage: Eukaryota; Viridiplantae; Chlorophyta; Ulvophyceae; Cladophorales; Boodleaceae. The record is from RNAcentral.
UGGGAUUGGACAGCCCAUU